GACGAACGCUGGCGGCGUGCUUAAUACAUGCAAGUCGAACGGACAGGCCCUGCUUUUGUGGGGCGCUCGUUUGGCGAACGGGUGAGUAACACGUGUGUAACCCGCCCUUGACUUUGGGAUAACUUCAGGAAACUGGGGCUAAUACCGGAUAGGAGCUCUUGCUGCAUGGUGGUGGUUGGAAAGUUUCGGCGGUUGGGGAUGGACUCGCGGCUUAUGAGCUUGUUGGUGGGGUAGUGGCUUACCAAGGCUUCGACGGGUAGCCCGCCUGAGAGGGUGAACGGCCACAUGAGGACUGCGAUACGGCCCAGACUCCUACGGGAGGCAGCAGGGGGGAGUCUUGCGCAAUGGGCGGAAGCCAGAUGCAGCAACGCCGCGUGCGUGAUGACGUCCUUCGGGUUGUAAACCGCUUUCGCCUGUGCCGAAGCGUGAGUGACGGUAAUGGGUCAGAAAGCACCGGCUAACUACGUG
This 468-nucleotide ribosomal RNA is filed under the name uncultured bacterium. RNAcentral's name for it is "partial 16S ribosomal RNA". It matches the Rfam family "Bacterial small subunit ribosomal RNA", at positions 28 to 507 of the family's 1533-position model. The record is from RNAcentral.